This 27-nucleotide non-coding RNA is filed under the name Rattus norvegicus (Norway rat). The record is from RNAcentral. Lineage: Eukaryota; Metazoa; Chordata; Mammalia; Rodentia; Muridae.
UGAGUGAGAUGCCAAGGACCUGGAAGC